UACGUAGGCAGCAAGCGUUGUUCGGAAUUACUGGGCGUAAAGAGUGUGUAGGCGGUGCUCUAAGUUCGGUGUGAAAUCUCCUGGCUUAACUGGGAGGGUGCGCCGGAAACUGGAAUGCUCGAGCGUGGGAGAGGAAAGCGGAAUUCCUGGUGUAGCGGUGGAAUGCGUAGAUAUCAGGAGGAACACCUGUGGUGUAGACAGCUUUCUGGACCAUUGCUGACGCUGAGACACGAAAGCGUGGGUAGCAAACAGG
This 253-nucleotide ribosomal RNA is filed under the name uncultured bacterium. Its description in RNAcentral is "partial 16S ribosomal RNA". It matches the Rfam family "Bacterial small subunit ribosomal RNA", at positions 524 to 776 of the family's 1533-position model. The record is from RNAcentral.